This 424-nucleotide ribosomal RNA is filed under the name uncultured bacterium. RNAcentral describes it as "partial 16S ribosomal RNA". It matches the Rfam family "Bacterial small subunit ribosomal RNA", at positions 354 to 796 of the family's 1533-position model. The record is from RNAcentral.
GUGGGGAAUCUUAGACAAUGGGGGCAACCCUGAUCUAGCCAUGCCGCGUGAGUGAUGAAGGCCUUAGGGUCGUAAAGCUCUUUCGCUGGGGAAGAUAAUGACGGUACCCAGUAAAGAAACCCCGGCUAACUCCGUGCCAGCAGCCGCGGUAAUACGGAGGGGGUUAGCGUUGUUCGGAAUUACUGGGCGUAAAGCGCGCGUAGGCGGAUUGGAAAGUUGGGGGUGAAAUCCCGGGGCUCAACCCUGGAAUGACCUUCAAAACUCCCGGUCUUGAGGUCGAGAGAGGUGAGUGGAAUUCCGAGUGUAGAGGUGAAAUUCGUAGAUAUUCGGAGGAACACCAGUGGCGAAGGCGGCUCACUGGCUCGAUACUGACGCUGAGGUGCGAAAGCGUGGGGAGCAAACAGGAUUAGAUCCCUGGUAGUCC